UCGGGUAUGGUGUAACGGCUAACAUUGCCGCCUCUCAUAUGAGCACAACGCGGCAGCUCGGGGUUCGAUUCCCCGUACCCGAA
Lyophyllum atratum is the source of this 83-nucleotide non-coding RNA. The record is from the annotation of a GenBank genome assembly. NCBI's taxonomy places the organism in Eukaryota, Fungi, Basidiomycota, Agaricomycetes, Agaricales, Lyophyllaceae.